RNAcentral lists this ribosomal RNA (253 nucleotides) under uncultured bacterium. Its description in RNAcentral is "partial 16S ribosomal RNA". It matches the Rfam family "Bacterial small subunit ribosomal RNA", at positions 524 to 776 of the family's 1533-position model. The record is from RNAcentral.
UACGUAGGUGGCAAGCGUUAUCCGGAUUUAUUGGGCGUAAAGGGAACGCAGGCGGUCUUUUAAGUCUGAUGUGAAAGCCUUCGGCUUAACCGGAGUAGUGCAUUGGAAACUGGGAGACUUGAGUGCAGAAGAGGAGAGUGGAACUCCAUGUGUAGCGGUGAAAUGCGUAGAUAUAUGGAAGAACACCAGUGGCGAAAGCGGCUCUCUGGCCUGUAACUGACGCUGAGGCUCGAAAGCAUGGGUAGCGAACAGG